GACGAACGCUGGCGGCGUGCUUAACACAUGCAAGUCGAGCGGUAAGGACCCUUUCGGGGGUACACGAGCGGCGAACGGGUGAGUAACGACGUGGGUGACCUGCCCUUAGCUCUGGGAUAAGCCUGGGAAACUGGGUCUAAUACCGGAUAUGACUCCAUGACGCAUGUUGUGGGGUGGAAAGCCUUGUGCGGCUAGGGAUGGGCCCGCGGCCUAUCAGCUUGUUGGUGGGGUGAUGGCCUACCAAGGCGACGACGGGUAGCCGGCCUGAGAGGGCGACCGGCCACACUGGGACUGAGACACGGCCCAGACUCCUACGGGAGGCAGCAGUGGGGAAUCGUUGCGCAAUGGGCGAAAGCCUGACGCAGCGACGCCGCGUGAGGGAUGACGGCC
RNAcentral lists this ribosomal RNA (390 nucleotides) under uncultured bacterium. RNAcentral describes it as "bacterial SSU rRNA". It matches the Rfam family "Bacterial small subunit ribosomal RNA", at positions 28 to 416 of the family's 1533-position model. The record is from RNAcentral.